Molecule: ribosomal RNA, 253 nt
Filed under: uncultured bacterium
Lineage: Bacteria
Description: partial 16S ribosomal RNA
Rfam family: Bacterial small subunit ribosomal RNA
Source: RNAcentral
UACAGAGGGUGCGAGCGUUAAUCGGAAUUACUGGGCGUAAAGCGUGCGUAGACGGCUAUCUAAGUCGGGUGUGAAAGCCCCGGGCUCAACCUGGGAAUUGCAUUCGAGACUGAAUAGCUAGGGUACGGUAGAGGGAAGUGGAAUUUCCGGUGUAGCGGUGAAAUGCGUAGAUAUCGGAAGGAACAUCAGUGGCGAAAGCGACUGCCUGGACCAGUACCGACGUUCAGGCACGAAAGCGUGGGGAGCAAACAGG